Molecule: long non-coding RNA, 111 nt
Organism: Poecilia latipinna (sailfin molly)
Lineage: Eukaryota; Metazoa; Chordata; Actinopteri; Cyprinodontiformes; Poeciliidae
Exons: 4
Source: RefSeq, a predicted model, not a curated record
GGCCGGUGUAACACCUGGAUUUCUACCAAGAUGUUGGCAGGAAUCAGUGUAAUACCUGGAUGUGUGUGCAGUAGAGGUGAUGGCAGCUUGAACGACAGUGGGCGCGUCUUC